This 272-nucleotide unclassified non-coding RNA is filed under the name Brucella sp. 191011898. RNAcentral describes it as "BASRCI408". Lineage: Bacteria; Pseudomonadati; Pseudomonadota; Alphaproteobacteria; Hyphomicrobiales; Brucellaceae. The record is from RNAcentral.
ACAAACGCGACCAUGCGACCGAGCGUUUCGUGCGCCUUGAAGAAAGCCGCACACAGCCGGGGUCUGGCCUGGGUUUAAGUCUUGCCAAGGCGGUCAUGAAGUUGCACGGUGGCGCGCUUCGUCUUGAGGACAACGGACCCGGCCUUCGCGCCGUUCUGGAAUUUCCGCUGCCGCAUCGCGAGGUUGGCUAGAGCGCAUCCCGAAAAGUGUGAAACGGUUUUCGGAAAAGAUGCGCGUCAAAACAAAGGAUUAGAGCGCCGAUCUGAUUCAUU